UAAAAACGUAAACGUUACCAACACUUGUGAGAUGGACAAUAGUAUUGUUCAGUCCUAGAGAAGUGGAUCAUCAAUGAGCACAUCAAAUCCGCCCCUAGAUCCCCACAACAGUGCUGGAAGCACAAGUAAUCCUACUGAAUUUGUAAAUCAUGGAAAAUUCAAAAAGUCUUCUUCUUUGGAAUUAUAUAAGACAGGAAUGGAUUGGAAAUAAGAGGUCUCGAAACCGUACAUAAGUUCCCAAACCCAAACUAAGGUUUUAUUGGCUGAUGAUAUCUAGGUUAUGAUCUUAGGUUACCAGCCGAAAUGUACUCGAUGGUAUAAAAAAUUGAGUCACUUGCUCGGCAGAUGACUUCGUUGCGUGGACUUGCAGAGAUAUUUUGGUGUAUGGAGAAGAAAUUGUACUUUUGUAUAGAAGUAAUAUAAUACUUUUGUCGUCUCUGGCUUUUGUACAAUCAACUAUUCCUGAUACAGAAAUUUUUGAUAGCGAACAGAUAAUUAUUGGCAUGGUAGAUGGAUCACCUUUUGACGCCGUACAGAUAUAUGAUUUUUUGUCGUGAUACAUAGAUGUAUUUUUGGCUUGGUACAUACAUCAUCUUUUGUCGUAGUACAGAUUACGAUGGUAAUUUGUACCAUGCCAAAUUGUCAUUUCACAUGGUAUAGUAAAUGUAAUUUUUGUAUAUGGAGGGUUUUACUUUUUGUAUGAUUGUAUAUGUUGUAUGAAAUUAUUAUUUUAGUUUGGACAAUAGUUCGUUUGUAUGUACUUGGACAGUUAACGCAAUUUAUUUUUUGUA
Molecule: non-coding RNA, 791 nt
Organism: Camellia sinensis
Lineage: Eukaryota; Viridiplantae; Streptophyta; Magnoliopsida; Ericales; Theaceae
Source: RefSeq, a predicted model, not a curated record